UACGGAGGAUCCAAGCGUUAUCCGGAUUUAUUGGGUUUAAAGGGUGCGUAGGCGGCUUAUUAAGUCAGGGGUGAAAGACGGUGGCUCAACCAUCGCAGUGCCCUUGAUACUGAUGAGCUUGAAUACACUUGAGGUAGGCGGAAUGUGACAAGUAGCGGUGAAAUGCAUAGAUAUGUCACAGAACACCAAUUGCGAAGGCAGCUUGCUAAGGUGCAAUUGACGCUGAGGCACGAAAGCGUGGGGAUCAAACAGG
RNAcentral lists this ribosomal RNA (253 nucleotides) under uncultured bacterium. RNAcentral describes it as "partial 16S ribosomal RNA". It matches the Rfam family "Bacterial small subunit ribosomal RNA", at positions 524 to 776 of the family's 1533-position model. The record is from RNAcentral.